RNAcentral lists this ribosomal RNA (497 nucleotides) under uncultured bacterium. RNAcentral's name for it is "partial 16S ribosomal RNA". It matches the Rfam family "Bacterial small subunit ribosomal RNA", at positions 28 to 507 of the family's 1533-position model. The record is from RNAcentral.
GAUGAACGCUGGCGGCGUGCCUAAUACAUGCAAGUCGAGCGAACAGACGAGGAGCUUGCUCCUCUGACGUUAGCGGCGGACGGGUGAGUAACACGUGGAUAACCUACCUCUAAGACUGGGAUAACUUCGGGAAACCGGAGCUAAUACCGGAUAAUAUAUUGAACCGCAUGGUUCAAUAGUGAAAGACGGUUUUGCUGUCACUUAUAGAUGGAUCCGCGCCGCAUUAGCUAGUUGGUAAGGUACCGUCUUACCAAGGCAACGAUGCGUAGCCGACCUGAGAGGGUGAUCGGCCACACUGGAACUGAGACACGGUCCAGACUCCUACGGGAGGCAGCAGUAGGGAAUCUUCCGCAAUGGGCGAAAGCCUGACGGAGCAACGCCGCGUGAGUGAUGAAGGUCUUCGGAUCGUAAAGCUCUGUUAUUAGGGAAGAACAAAUGUGUAAGUAACUAUGCACGUCUUGACGGUACCUAAUCAGAAAGCCACGGCUAACUACGUG